GAUGAAGAACGCAGUGAAAGGCGAAACGUAAUGUGAAUCGCAACUAACAGUGAAUCAUCGAAUCUUUGAACGCAGGCCGCGCCUUGCACGUCAUUCGUGAUGUGGCAAGGCAUCUAUGUAUGAGUGUCAGCCCAACAUCCUUUUGGUUUAAUAGUAAUAUUAUUUUAUUAUUAAAUUCAUUAUGCGAGUAUCGAAUUUAUUUUCGUUACACGCGUUUAACAGAAUGUGUCUGGCCUCAUAUAUGGAAGGUUACCCGCUGGAUUUAAGCAUAUCAAUAAGCGGAGGA
RNAcentral lists this unclassified non-coding RNA (286 nucleotides) under soil metagenome. RNAcentral's name for it is "partial internal transcribed spacer 1". The stretch from base 1 to 129 matches the Rfam family "5.8S ribosomal RNA", at positions 35 to 154 of the family's 154-position model. The record is from RNAcentral.